AGAGUUUGAUCCUGGCUCAGAUUGAACGCUGGCGGCAGGCCUAACACAUGCAAGUCGAGCGGUAGAGAGAAGCUUGCUUCUCUUGAGAGCGGCGGACGGGUGAGUAAUGCCUAGGAAUCUGCCUGGUAGUGGGGGAUAACGUUCGGAAACGGACGCUAAUACCGCAUACGUCCUACGGGAGAAAGCAGGGGACCUUCGGGCCUUGCGCUAUCAGAUGAGCCUAGGUCGGAUUAGCUAGUUGGUGAGGUAAUGGCUCACCAAGGCGACGAUCCGUAACUGGUCUGAGAGGAUGAUCAGUCACACUGGAACUGAGACAUGGUCCAGACUCCUACGGGAGGCAGCAGUGGGGAAUAUUGGACAAUGGGCGAAAGCCUGAUCCAGCCAUGCCGCGUGUGUGAAGAAGGUCUUCGGAUUGUAAAGCACUUUAAGUUGGGAGGAAGGGCAGUUACCUAAUACGUGAUUGUUUUGACGUUACCGACAGAAUAAGCACCGGCUAACUCUGUGCCAGCAGCCGCGGUAAUACAGAGGGUGCAAGCGUUAAUCGGAAUUACUGGGCGUAAAGCGCGCGUAGGUGGUUUGUUAAGUUGGAUGUGAAAUCCCCGGGCUCAACCUGGGAACUGCAUUCAAAACUGACUGACUAGAGUGUGGUAGAGGGUGGUGGAAUUUCCUGUGUAGCGGUGAAAUGCGUAGAUAUAGGAAGGAACACCAGUGGCGAAGGCGACCACCUGGACCAACACUGACACUGACGUGCGAAAGCGUGGGGAGCAAACAGGAUUAGAUACCCUGGUAGUCCACGCCGUAAACGAUGUCAACUAGCCGUUGGGAGCCUUGAGCUCUUAGUGGCGCAGCUAACGCAUUAAGUUGACCGCCUGGGGAGUACGGCCGCAAGGUUAAAACUCAAAUGAAUUGACGGGGGCCCGCACAAGCGGUGGAGCAUGUGGUUUAAUUCGAAGCAACGCG
Molecule: ribosomal RNA, 960 nt
Filed under: uncultured bacterium
Lineage: Bacteria
Description: bacterial SSU rRNA
Rfam family: Bacterial small subunit ribosomal RNA
Source: RNAcentral